GGCAUGGUUGUCGUCAGCUCGUGUCGUGAGAUGUUGGGUUAAGUCCCGCAACGAGCGCAACCCCUAUUGUUAGUUGCCAUCAUUCAGUUGGGCACUCUAGCGAGACUGCCGGUAAUAAACCGGAGGAAGGUGGGGGAUGACGUCAAAUCAUCAUGCCCUUAUGACCUGGGCUACACACGUGCUACAAUGGUUGGUACAACGAGUUGCGAGUCGGUGACGGCGAGCUAAUCUCUUAAAGCCAAUCUCAGUUCGGAUUGUAGGCUGCAACUCGCCUACAUGAAGUCGGAAUCGCUAGUAAUCGCGGAUCAGCACGCCGCGGUGAAUACGUUCCCGGGCCUU
This 339-nucleotide ribosomal RNA is filed under the name uncultured Streptococcus sp. RNAcentral's name for it is "bacterial SSU rRNA". It matches the Rfam family "Bacterial small subunit ribosomal RNA", at positions 1042 to 1382 of the family's 1533-position model. Lineage: Bacteria; Bacillati; Bacillota; Bacilli; Lactobacillales; Streptococcaceae. The record is from RNAcentral.